AACGAACGCUGGCGGCAUGCCUAACACAUGCAAGUCGAACGAGACCUUCGGGUCUAGUGGCGCACGGGUGCGUAACGCGUGGGAACCUGCCCUUAGGUUCGGAAUAACUCCCCGAAAGGGGUGCUAAUACCGGAUAAUGUCUUCGGACCAAAGAUUUAUCGCCUUUGGAUGGGCCCGCGUUGGAUUAGCUAGUUGGUAGGGUAAAAGCCUACCAAGGCGACGAUCCAUAGCUGGUCUGAGAGGAUGAUCAGCCACACUGGGACUGAAACACGGCCCAGACACCAGGGGGAGCAGGAGGGAGGAAAUUGUGAAAAGGGGGGAAAAGCCUGACCCAGCAAUUCCGUGUGAGUAAGAGAUCCAUUAGGUUUGAAAAGCUCUUUAACCGGGGAAGAAAAGUACAGGACGGGAAAAAUAGACCCCGCCAAACCCCUUA
RNAcentral lists this ribosomal RNA (433 nucleotides) under uncultured bacterium. RNAcentral describes it as "partial 16S ribosomal RNA". It matches the Rfam family "Bacterial small subunit ribosomal RNA", at positions 29 to 507 of the family's 1533-position model. The record is from RNAcentral.